UUGAAUAAACUUGGUUGAGCUGUUGCUGGCUUUUCGAAGCAUGUGCACGCUUAAUCCAUUUUUAUAACCACCUGUGCACCUUAUGUAGAUCUGAGAAACUCGAGGAAACUCGGUUUGAGAAUUGCGACGCGAAAGCAAGCUAUUCUUUAUCCUUGGAUCUAUGUUUUCAAUAUACCCCACAGAAAGUAUUUGAAUGUAGUAAUGGGCCUUCGUGCCUUUAAAACCUAAUA
RNAcentral lists this unclassified non-coding RNA (230 nucleotides) under uncultured Basidiomycota. Its description in RNAcentral is "sequence contains ITS1". The record is from RNAcentral. Lineage: Eukaryota; Fungi; Basidiomycota.